UUAAGAAGAGUACUGUGUUCUCAAUUUAAUCCACCGUCAGACUUGAAUUUUACAAUUAUAGAUGAACAUAAUGUUCAAAUGUCAUGGAAAAGGCCACCAGAUGCAAUAGUGGGUUACAGGAUAACUGUGGUUCCAACAAAUGAUGGGCCUACUAAAGAAUUUACUCUUUCACCUAGCACUACCCAAACUGUCUUAUCGGAUCUCACACCUGAUAUAGAGUAUGUUGUAUCAAUAGCCUCAUAUGAUGAAAGAGAGGAGAGUCUACCUGUUUUUGGCCAACUAACAAUUCAGACAGGUGGUCCAGGGAUACCUGAGCAAAAGAAGGUUGAGGCUCAAUUACAAAGAUGCUCCAUAAGUGCAAUGACAGAUUUAGUUUUCCUGGUAGAUGGUUCAUGGAGUGUAGGGAGAAAUAACUUUGGAUAUAUUCUGGACUUCAUGGUUGCCCUUGUAUCAGCUUUUGACAUUGGGGAAGAAAAGACGAGAGUUGGAGUUGUUCAGUACAGUUCAGAUACAAGAACAGAGUUCAAUUUAAAUCAGUAUUUCAGAAGAAGUGAUCUUAUUGAUGCAAUUAAAAGGAUACCUUACAAAGGUGGCAACACAAUGACAGGUGAGGCUAUUGAUUACCUGGUUCAAAACACCUUCACUGAGUCUGCUGGAGCAAGAAAAGGUUUUCCCAAAGUAGCAAUUGUCAUUACGGAUGGAAAAGCUCAAGACGAAGUCGAAAUUCCUGCAAGAGAGCUUCGCAACAUAGGGGUUGAAGUUUUUUCUUUGGGAAUCAAAGCAGCAGAUGCAAAGGAACUCAAGCUAAUCGCAUCUCAGCCUUCACUGAAGCAUGUGUUCAAUGUGGCUAAUUUUGAUGGAAUUGUGGAUAUACAGAAUGAAAUUAUCUUGCAAGUGUGCUCUGGUGUUGAUGAACAACUAGGUGAACUGGUUAGUGGAGAAGAAGUGGUGGAGCCUCCUUCAAAUCUGGUGGCCACUCAGAUCUCCUCAAAAUCUGUUAGGAUCACUUGGGAUCCAUCCACAAGUCAAAUAACUGGCUAUCGGCUGCAGUUCAUUCCAAUGAUAGCUGGUGGAAAACAACAUGUACUGAGUGUGGGUCCUCAGACUACUGCUCUGAAUGUUAAAGAUCUCUCUCCAGACACAGAGUAUCAAAUUAAUGUUUAUGCAAUGAAAGGGCUGACCCCCAGUGAGCCAAUAACGAUAAUGGAAAAAACACAACAAGUAAAAGUUCAAGUGGAAUGCUCACGUGGUGUGGAUGUAAAAGCUGAUGUUGUGUUUUUAGUGGAUGGUUCCUACAGCAUUGGUAUCGCCAAUUUUGUUAAAGUAAGAGCAUUUUUGGAAGUGUUAGUUAAAAGCUUUGAGAUAUCGCCUCGAAAAGUACAGAUAAGUCUUGUCCAGUACAGCAGAGAUCCCCAUAUGGAGUUUUCUUUGAACAGAUACAACAGAGUGGAAGACAUAAUUCAGGCUAUUAACACCUUCCCCUACAGAGGUGGAUCUACCAACACAGGCAAAGCGAUGACAUAUGUGAGGGAGAAAGUAUUUGUUACCAGCAAAGGAUCAAGACCAAAUGUGCCAAGAGUCAUGAUUCUUAUUACUGAUGGAAAAUCGUCAGAUGCUUUUAAAGAACCUGCAAUAAAGCUGAGGGAUGCAGAUGUAGAAAUAUUUGCAGUCGGUGUGAAGGAUGCAGUGCGUACAGAGUUAGAAGCAAUUGCGUCACCUCCUGCUGAAACCCACGUUUACACAGUGGAAGAUUUUGAUGCUUUUCAAAGAAUAUCAUUUGAACUAACACAGUCUGUCUGCCUACGGAUUGAGCAGGAACUGGCUGCUAUACGGAAAAAAUCUUAUGUACCUGCAAAGAAUAUGGUCUUUUCUGAUGUAACAUCUGACAGUUUCAAAGUGAGCUGGUCUCCAGCUGGAUCUGAGGUUUUGUCCUAUCUCAUUAAAUAUAAAGUAGCAGUUGGUGGAGAUGAAUUCAUUGUUUCAGUACCAGCUUCAAGUACUAGCUCAGUUCUUACCAACUUGCUACCUGAAACUACUUAUGCAGUCAGUGUGAUUUCUGAAUACGAAGAUGGUGAUGGCCCUCCCUUGGAUGGAGAGGAAACCACCUUAGAAGUUAAAGGUGCUCCUCGAAACUUAAGGAUAACAGAUGAAACUACAGAUAGCUUUGUAGUUGGCUGGAGUGCAGCUCCAGGAAAUGUCCUACGGUACAGGAUUGUAUACAGACCACUUACUGCAGGAGAAAGGAGACAAGUGACUGUCUCAGCAAAUGAACGAUCAACUAUUCUGCAGAACUUGAUCCAAGAUACAAGAUAUGAAGUGUCUGUUAUUCCUGAGUAUCAGUCUGGGCCUGGGAAUUCGCUGAAUGGAUAUGCAAAAACUGAUGAAGUCCGAGGAAAUCCAAGAAAUUUGAGAGUUUCUGAUGCUACAACAUCAACAAUGAAGCUGUCCUGGGGCGCUGCUCCUGGCAAAGUGCAGCAGUAUUUUAUAACAUACACUCCAGUCGCAGGAGGUGAAACUAAGGAAGUGACUGUGAAAGGUGACACUACCUCUAAAGUGCUGAAAGGCUUAGACCAAGCCACUAGGUAUGCAUUGACUGUGUCUGCCUUGUAUGCCUCUGGAGCAGGAGAGGCCCUUUCUGGAGAGGGAGAAACACUUGAAGAACGUGGUUCACCACGUAAUUUGAUUACCACAGACAUAACUGACACUACAGUUGGGUUAUCAUGGACACCAGCUCCAGGAGCAGUUAAUGAUUACAGGAUAGUAUGGAAAUCACUUUAUGAUGAUACGAUGGGAGAGAAGAGAGUCCCUGGAAACAGAGUGGAUGCUGUGCUAGAAGGCUUGGAGCCAGAGACUAAAUACAGGAUUUCAGUAUCUGCAAUUUACAGCAGUGGAGAAGGAGACCCAGUAGAAGGAGAGGCUUUUACUGAUGUGUCACCAAAUGCCAGGACUGUGACAGUAGACAACGAGACAGAAAAUACAAUGAGAGUUACGUGGCAGCCUUCACCUGGAAAAGUCUUGUCUUAUCGUGUGUACUACCGACCACGCAGUGGAGGAAGACAGAUGUUUGGAAGAGUAAAUGCUCCUACUACAAGCAUAGUGUUAAAGCGACUUAAGCCGCGAACUACAUAUGACCUCAGCGUUGUUCCAAUUUAUGAUUUUGGACAAGGAAAAUCAAGAAAAGCAGAAGGAACAACAGCCUCUCCCUUUAAGCCGCCUCGAAAUCUGAGAACUUCUGAUUCAACUAUGUCAAGUUUCCGAGUAACCUGGGAGCCAGCCCCAGGGCGAGUAAAGGGGUACAAAGUAACUUUCCACCCUACUGAAGAUGAUGGGAGUCUUGGAGAAUUAAUAGUGGGACCAUACGACAGCACAGUGGUAUUGGAGGAGCUUAGGGCAGGAACUACCUAUAAGGUAAAUGUUUUUGGAAUGUUUGAAGGAGGAGAGAGCAGCCCCCUGGUUGGACAAGAGAUGACCACCCUUUCAGAUACUACUUCGGAGCCAUUUUUAUCUAGAGGUUUAGAAUGUAGAACCAGAGCAGAAGCUGAUAUCGUGCUGCUGGUGGAUGGCUCAUGGAGUAUCGGGCGGCCAAAUUUUAAAACUAUCAGGAACUUCAUCGCUCGUAUUGUUGAAGUUUUUGAUAUUGGUCCUGACAAAGUACAGAUUGGUCUUGCACAGUAUAGUGGAGAUCCCAGGACAGAAUGGAAUCUCAAUGCUUACCGAACCAAACAGGCUUUGUUAGAGGCUGUAGCCAACUUACCAUAUAAAGGAGGCAAUACUCUAACAGGAAUGGCCUUGGAUUUCAUCUUAAAAAACAACUUCAAACAAGAUGCAGGCUUAAGGCCCAGAGCUCGCAAAAUUGGUGUUCUCAUCACUGAUGGCAAAUCACAAGAUGAUAUAGUCACCCCUUCAAGAAGACUCAGAGAUGAAGGGGUGGAACUUUAUGCAAUUGGUAAGUAUUAUAUGAAGAGCUGGCAUGCGCCAAUCCCCUCAUGCCCAUCUGCUAAAUGAACAGAGAAGUGGCCACGUACAUAAGUACCUAAAAUGCUAUUCAAAGAAUGUGUUUAGGGACUGAAGUUCAUGGGAUUAUGUUUCAUGGCCAUAAUUUCUAACAAGUUUUGUUUUCAUGUCUUCUCUGUAAGGUAUUAAAAAUGCAGACGAAAAUGAAUUGAAGCAGAUUGCAACGGAUCCAGAUGACAUCCAUGCUUACAACGUUGCAGAUUUCUCCUUCCUGGCUAACAUUGUUGAUGAUGUAACCACGAAUCUGUGUAACAGUGUGAAAGGUCCAGGUACAUCACAUUUUCAGUCUAAUUCAUCCUUUUUCCAUUUAAGUGCUUGCCCUGCUAAUUCCUUUUUAUUACUUAUUGGGAACACUGUGUAGCCCUGGGCUGUUUUUUCAGCUGCUGGUGUGAGGAAGUUGUGCAGACCACCUGGACUACCCUGCAGGGGUUCUUCCUUUCCUU
This 4457-nucleotide long non-coding RNA is filed under the name Accipiter nisus (Eurasian sparrowhawk). RNAcentral's name for it is "lncRNA (ENSANIG00000005129.1)". The record is from RNAcentral. Lineage: Eukaryota; Metazoa; Chordata; Aves; Accipitriformes; Accipitridae.